This 253-nucleotide ribosomal RNA is filed under the name uncultured microorganism. RNAcentral describes it as "partial 16S ribosomal RNA". It matches the Rfam family "Bacterial small subunit ribosomal RNA", at positions 524 to 776 of the family's 1533-position model. The record is from RNAcentral.
UACGUAGGGUGCGAGCGUUGUCCGGAUUUAUUGGGCGUAAAGCGAGCGCAGGCGGCCCGUUAAGACAGGUGUGAAAUCCCUGGGCUCAACCUAGGAAUUGCGCUUGUGACUGGCGGGCUCGAGUUCUGAAGAGGGUGGUAGAAUUUCCAGUGUAGCGGUGAAAUGCGUAGAGAUCAGGAGGAACACCGAUGGCGAAGGCAGCCCCCUGGGCCUGUACUGACGCUCAUGCACGAAAGCGUGGGGAGCAAACAGG